This 468-nucleotide ribosomal RNA is filed under the name uncultured bacterium. RNAcentral describes it as "partial 16S ribosomal RNA". It matches the Rfam family "Bacterial small subunit ribosomal RNA", at positions 28 to 507 of the family's 1533-position model. The record is from RNAcentral.
GACGAACGCUGGCGGCGUGCUUAACACAUGCAAGUCGAACGGAAAGGCCCUGCUUUUGUGGGGUGCUCGAGUGGCGAACGGGUGAGUAACACGUGAGUAACCUGCCCUUGACUUUGGGAUAACUUCAGGAAACUGGGGCUAAUACCGGAUAGGAGCUCCUGCUGCAUGGUGGGGGUUGGAAAGUUUCGGCGGUUGGGGAUGGACUCGCGGCUUAUCAGCUUGUUGGUGGGGUAGUGGCUUACCAAGGCUUUGACGGGUAGCCGGCCUGAGAGGGUGACCGGCCACAUUGGGACGGAGAUACGGCCCAGAAUCCUACGGGAGGCAGCAGUGGGGAAUAUUGCACAAUGGGCGGAAGCAUGAUGCAGAAACGCCGCGUGCGGGAUGACGGCCUACGGGUUGUAAACCGAUUGCGACUGUGACGAAGCGUGAGUGACGGUAAUGGGUAAAGAAGCACCGGCUAACUACGUG